This 194-nucleotide ribosomal RNA is filed under the name uncultured bacterium. Its description in RNAcentral is "partial 16S ribosomal RNA". It matches the Rfam family "Bacterial small subunit ribosomal RNA", at positions 338 to 524 of the family's 1533-position model. The record is from RNAcentral. RNAcentral also lists the same sequence under 1 other name.
CCUACGGGAGGCAGCAGUGGGGAAUUUUGGACAAUGGGCGAAAGCCUGAUCCAGCAAUGCCGCGUGCAGGAUGAAGGCCUUCGGGUUGUAAACUGCUUUUGUACGGAACGAAAAAGCUCCUUCUAAUACAGGGGGCCCAUGACGGUACCGUAAGAAUAAGCACCGGCUAACUACGUGCCAGCAGCCGCGGUAAU